This is an unclassified non-coding RNA of Cavia aperea (Brazilian guinea pig), 317 nucleotides long. Its record names the gene 7SK. It matches the Rfam family "7SK RNA". Rfam says of the family: 7SK was discovered as an abundant small nuclear RNA in the mid-70s but a possible function has only recently been suggested. Two independent studies have found that 7SK RNA binds the CDK9/cyclin T complex (known as elongation factor P-TEFb). The record is from Ensembl. NCBI's taxonomy places the organism in Eukaryota, Metazoa, Chordata, Mammalia, Rodentia, Caviidae.
GGGGGUGAGGGUAAUCUGGCUGGGUCAUCUGUCACUUCACUAAUCACCAGAGUAGAUCUGACUGAUUUGGUGGCCACAUGGUUGUUCUCUUCCUCCCUCACACUCCAUGUUCAUCCCUCUUGAAAUUGUACACUUGCUUGCUGAAGAAUGUAGACUGGUGCAACCACUGUAGAAAUCAGUGUGGAGGUUCCCCAAAAACUAAAAGUACACAGGUUCCAUCUGACCUAGCUAUUGCCCUUCUUGAUACCUUCCUGAAAGAGUUAAAAGCAUCACACCACAGCCAUAUAUGCAUAUUCAUGUUUAUAUGGCACAGUUUU